GACGAACGCUGGCGGCGUGCUUAACACAUGCAAGUCGAACGGAAAGGCCCUGCUUUUGUGGGGUGCUCGAGUGGCGAACGGGUGAGUAACACGUGAGUAACCUGCCCUUGACUUUGGGAUAACUUCAGGAAACUGGGGCUAAUACCGGAUAGGAUCUCCUGCUGCAUGGUGGGGGUUGGAAAGUUUCGGCGGUUGGGGAUGGACUCGCGGCUUAUCAGCUUGUUGGUGGGGUAGUGGCUUACCAAGGCUUUGACGGGUAGCCGGCCUGAGAGGGUGACCGGCGACAAUGGGACUGAGAUACGGCGCAGACGCCUACGGGAGGCAGCAGUGGGGAAUAUGGCACAAUGGGCGGAAGCCUGAGGCGGCAACGCCGCGUGCGGGAUGACGGCCUUCGGGUUGUAAACCGCUUUCGCAUGUGACGAAGCGUGAGUGACGGUAAUGGGUAAAGAAGCACCGGCUAACUACGUG
This 468-nucleotide ribosomal RNA is filed under the name uncultured bacterium. RNAcentral describes it as "partial 16S ribosomal RNA". It matches the Rfam family "Bacterial small subunit ribosomal RNA", at positions 28 to 507 of the family's 1533-position model. The record is from RNAcentral.